This 495-nucleotide ribosomal RNA is filed under the name uncultured bacterium. RNAcentral describes it as "partial 16S ribosomal RNA". It matches the Rfam family "Bacterial small subunit ribosomal RNA", at positions 28 to 507 of the family's 1533-position model. The record is from RNAcentral.
GAUGAACGCUGGCGGCGUGCCUAAUACAUGCAAGUAGAACGCUGAAGGAGGAGCUUGCUCUUCUGGAUGAGUUGCGAACGGGUGAGUAACGCGUAGGUAACCUGCCUGUUAGCGGGGGAUAACUAUUGGAAACGAUAGCUAAUACCGCAUGACAACAGUUAUUGCAUGAUAACUGUUUAAAAGGGGCAACUGCUCCACUACCAGAUGGACCUGCGUUGUAUUAGCUAGUUGGUGAGGUAACGGCUCACCAAGGCGACGAUACAUAGCCGACCUGAGAGGGGGAUCGGACAAACUGGGACUGAGACACGGCCCAGAAUCCUACGGGAGGCAGCAGUAGGGAAUCUUCGGCAAUGGACGGAAGUCUGACCGAGCAACGCCGCGUGAGUGAAGAAGGUUUUCGGAUCGUAAAGCUCUGUUGUAAGAGAAGAACGAGUGUGAGAGUGGAAAGUUCACACUGUGACGGUAUCUUACCAGAAAGGGACGGCUAACUACGUG